GAUGAACGCUGGCGGCGUGCAUAACACAUGCAAGUCGAGCGGUAUAUACUUAAGUGAAACUUCGGUCGAGUGAGAGUAUAGAGAGCGGCGGACGGGUGAGUAACGCGUAGGCAACCUGCCCCAUACAGAGGGAUAGCCUCGGGAAACCGGGAUUAAAACCUCAUAACGCCAAAAGUUCACAUGGACAUUUGGUCAAAGAUUUAUCGGUAUGGGAUGGGCCUGCGUCUGAUUAGCUAGUUGGUAAGGUAACGGCUUACCAAGGCAACGAUCAGUAGCCGACCUGAGAGGGUAAUCGGCCACAUUGGAACUGAGACACGGUCCAAACUCCUACGGGAGGCAGCAGUGGGGAAUAUUGCACAAUGGGCGAAAGCCUGAUGCAGCAACGCCGCGUGAGCGAUGAAGGCCUUUGGGUCGUAAAGCUCUGUCCUUGGGGAAGAAAAAAAUGACGGUACCCUUGGAGGAAGCCCCGGCUAACUACGUGCCAGCAGCCGCGGUAAUACGUAGGGGGCAAGCGUUAUCCGGAAUUAUUGGGCGUAAAGAGUGCGUAGGUGGUUUUGUAAGCGCGAGGUGAAAGGCUAUGGCUCAACCAUAGUAAGCCUUGCGAACUGUAAGACUUGAGUGCAGGAGAGGAAAGUGGAAUUCCUAGUGUAGCGGUGAAAUGCGUAGAUAUUAGGAGGAACACCAGUGGCGAAGGCGACUUUCUGGACUGUAACUGACACUGAGGCACGAAAGCGUGGGGAGCAAACA
RNAcentral lists this ribosomal RNA (747 nucleotides) under uncultured Anaerovorax sp. RNAcentral's name for it is "bacterial SSU rRNA". It matches the Rfam family "Bacterial small subunit ribosomal RNA", at positions 28 to 774 of the family's 1533-position model. Lineage: Bacteria; Bacillati; Bacillota; Clostridia; Peptostreptococcales; Anaerovoracaceae. The record is from RNAcentral.